UUCUCCCCUUACAUGUUUGAUCCUGGCUCAGAACGAACGCUGGCGGCGUGGAUAAGACAUGCAAGUCGCACGGAGUGCCUUCGGGCACUGAGUGGCGCACGGGUGAGUAACACGUGAGUAACCUGCCCCUGAGACAGGGAUAGCCCCGGGAAACUGGGAUUAAUACCUGAUGGUCUCGCAAGAGUAAAGCAGCAAUGCGCUCAGGGAGGGGCUCGCGUCCUAUUAGUUAGUUGGCGGGGUAACGGCCCACCAAGGCGAUGACGGGUAGCCGGUCUGAGAGGAUGUCCGGCCACACUGGAACUGAGACACGGUCCAGACACCUACGGGUGGCAGCAGUCGAGAAUCAUUCACAAUGGGCGAAAGCCUGAUGGUGCGACGCCGCGUGGGGGAGGAAGGUCUUCGGAUUGUAAACCCCUGUCAUGUGGGAGCAAGACUUCGGUUUGAUAGUACCACAAGAGGAAGAGACGGCAAACUCUGUGCCAGCAGCCGCGGUAAUACAGAGGUCUCAAGCGUUGUUCGGAAUCACUGGGCUGUAAAGGGUACGUAGGUGGCAUCAUAAGUCGUGCGUGAAAGGCAGGGGCUCAACCUCUGGAGUGCGCGUGAUACUUGUGAUGCUGGAGUAAUGGAGGGGGAACCGGAAUUCUUGGUGUAGCAGUGAAAUGCGUAGAUAUCAAGAAGAAGACUCGUGGCGAAGGCGGGUUCCUGGACAUUUACUGACGCUGAGGUACGAAGGCCAGGGUAGCGAAAGGGAUUAGAUACCCCUGUAGUCCUGGCAGUAAACGGUGCACGUUUGGUGUGCGGAGAUUCGACCCUCUGCGUGCCGGAGUUAACACGUUAAACGUGCCGCCUGGGGAGUACGGUCGCAAGAUUAAAACUCAAAGAGAUUGACGGGGACCCGCACAAGCGGUGGAGUAUGUGGCUUAAUUCGAUGCAACGCAAAGAACCUUACCAAGGCUUGACAUCCCGUGACCGUCUGUGAAAGCAGAUUUUCUAUUCGUAGACACGGAGACAGGUGCUGCAUGGCCGUCGUCAGCUCGU
RNAcentral lists this ribosomal RNA (1038 nucleotides) under uncultured bacterium. RNAcentral describes it as "bacterial SSU rRNA". It matches the Rfam family "Bacterial small subunit ribosomal RNA", at positions 1 to 1063 of the family's 1533-position model. The record is from RNAcentral.